This 523-nucleotide ribosomal RNA is filed under the name Cyclocephala sparsa. Its description in RNAcentral is "partial 16S ribosomal RNA". It matches the Rfam family "Bacterial large subunit ribosomal RNA", at positions 1819 to 2610 of the family's 2925-position model. Lineage: Eukaryota; Metazoa; Arthropoda; Insecta; Coleoptera; Scarabaeidae. The record is from RNAcentral.
GUCUUUUUGAUUAUAAUUGAAAGUCUGACCUGCCCAAUGAAUAUUUAAAUGGCCGCGGUAAUUUGACCGUGCAAAGGUAGCAUAAUCAUUAGUUUUUUAAUUGAAAGCUGGAAUGAACGGUUGGACGAGAAAAUAACUGUCUCGAUUUAAUUGAAUAUAGAAUUUUAUUUAUAAGUAAAAAAGCUUAUAUAAGUUUAAAAGACGAGAAGACCCUAUAGAAUUUAAUAUAAUAACAAAUUAUUUUGUUGAAGAAUCUAGAGAAAUUAAUUUUUUAUUAUAUUUUGUUGGGGUGAUGGAAAAAUUUAAAUAACUUUUUUUAUUAAUCAAUCAUUAAUGAAUGAAUAAAUGAUCCGUAAUUUACGAUUAUAAGAUUAAAUUACCUUAGGGAUAACAGCGUAAUUUUUUUUUAGAGUUCUAAUCGAAAAAAGAGUUUGCGACCUCGAUGUUGGAUUAAAAUUAACUUUUGGUGUAGGGGCUAGAGGGUUAGGUCUGUUCGACCUUUAAAAUUUUACAUGAUCUGAGU